GAAUGCUGACAUAAGUAACGAUAAAGCGGGUGAAAAGCCCGCUCGCCGGAAGACCAAGGGUUCCUGUCCAACGUUAAUCGGGGCAGGGUGAGUCGACCCCUAAGGCGAGGCCGAAAGGCGUAGUCGAUGGGAAACAGGUUAAUAUUCCUGUACUUGGUGUUACUGCGAAGGGGGGACGGAGAAGGCUAUGUUGGCCGGGCGACGGUUGUCCCGGUUUAAGCGUGUAGGCUGAUUUUCCAGGCAAAUCCGGAAAAUCAAGGCUGAGGCGUGAUGACGAGGCACUACGGUGCUGAAGCAACAAAUGCCCUGCUUCCAGGAAAAGCCUCUAAGCAUCAGGUAACAUCAAAUCGUACCCCAAACCGACACAGGUGGUCAGGUAGAGAAUACCAAGGCGCUUGAGAGAACUCGGGUGAAGGAACUAGGCAAAAUGGUGCCGUAACUUCGGGAGAAGGCACGCUGAUAUGUAGGUGAAGCGACUUGCUCGUGGAGCUGAAAUCAGUCGAAGAUACCAGCUGGCUGCAACUGUUUAUUAAAAACACAGCACUGUGCAAACACGAAAGUGGACGUAUACGGUGUGACGCCUGCCCGGUGCCGGAAGGUUAAUUGAUGGGGUUAGCGGUAACGCGAAGCUCUUGAUCGAAGCCCCGGUAAACGGCGGCCGUAACUAUAACGGUCCUAAGGUAGCGAAAUUCCUUGUCGGGUAAGUUCCGACCUGCACGAAUGGCGUAAUGAUGGCCAGGCUGUCUCCACCCGAGACUCAGUGAAAUUGAACUCGCUGUGAAGAUGCAGUGUACCCGCGGCAAGACGGAAAGACCCCGUGAACCUUUACUAUAGCUUGACACUGAACAUUGAGCCUUGAUGUGUAGGAUAGGUGGGAGGCUUUGAAGUGUGGACGCCAGUCUGCAUGGAGCCGACCUUGAAAUACCACCCUUUAAUGUUUGAUGUUCUAACGUUGGCCCGUUAUCCGGGUUGCGGACAGUGUCUGGUGGGUAGUUUGACUGGGGCGGUCUCCUCCUAAAGAGUAACGGAGGAGCACGAAGGUUGGCUAAUCCUGGUCGGACAUCAGGAGGUUAGUGCAAUGGCAUAAGCCAGCUUGACUGCGAGCGUGACGGCGCGAGCAGGUGCGAAAGCAGGUCAUAGUGAUCCGGUGGUUCUGAAUGGAAGGGCCAUCGCUCAACGGAUAAAAGGUACUCCGGGGAUAACAGGCUGAUACCGCCCAAGAGUUCAUAUCGACGGCGGUGUUUGGCACCUCGAUGUCGGCUCAUCACAUCCUGGGGCUGAAGUAGGUCCCAAGGGUAUGGCUGUUCGCCAUUUAAAGUGGUACGCGAGCUGGGUUUAGAACGUCGUGAGACAGUUCGGUCCCUAUCUGCCGUGGGCGCUGGAGAACUGAGGGGGGCUGCUCCUAGUACGAGAGGACCGGAGUGGACGCAUCACUGGUGUUCGGGUUGUCAUGCCAAUGGCACUGCCCGGUAGCUAAAUGCGGAAGAGAUAAGUGCUGAAAGCAUCUAAGCACGAAACUUGCCCCGAGAUGAGUUCUCCCUGACUCCUUGAG
This 1552-nucleotide ribosomal RNA is filed under the name Escherichia coli. RNAcentral describes it as "partial 23S ribosomal RNA". It matches the Rfam family "Bacterial large subunit ribosomal RNA", at positions 1292 to 2825 of the family's 2925-position model. Lineage: Bacteria; Pseudomonadati; Pseudomonadota; Gammaproteobacteria; Enterobacterales; Enterobacteriaceae. The record is from RNAcentral.